Molecule: non-coding RNA, 2309 nt
Organism: Arachis ipaensis
Lineage: Eukaryota; Viridiplantae; Streptophyta; Magnoliopsida; Fabales; Fabaceae
Source: RefSeq, a predicted model, not a curated record
UUUCUCUUAUGCCAUAAUGUCUAUGUUAAAAGCGCUACAUUUUGGCAUUUGUUGUACCCGCCACUCUCUCCAUUUAUUUUAUUAUUUUAUUAAUAAAACUAAAAGAGCAGAUGAGAGUGAGAGAAAGUGAUGCUUUUAAACAUAUGAGAGUGAGAAUACGAAACCCUAACAAUCGCGCUACCAUUCAUCUCCACAGCGAAGCCAUUGUUGCCUCCGAUUGAGCUUUUGUAACUUGGUUCUUUGGUCUCGAUCUGAUGUUUGUCACCGCCAUAAGCGAUGUCGUUGUUGCUGGCCUCCGAUUGUGCUUCUGCGAUUUGGUGUUUCUUCUUUGUGAAUCACUAAUUACUAAUUCGAUCUACUUCAUCUUCUUAUUUGAAUUUUUCUAAUUAGAUGUUCAUAUUUUUUGAUCUGGUUCAUGUCUAUAAAGCUGACGAAUUUGUUGCUAAUAUAUUCCCAGUCGCAGAUUUUUAGUUUUGUAACUGAUUUUUCAUUUGAUUAUUAGAUCUCUGUUUGUAACUGAUAUUUUGUAACUGAUUGCUAAUAUUUUUCAUUUGAUUUUUAGUUUCGUAACUGAUAUUUCGUAACUGAUUGUGAUAUUUGAAUUAUUAGAUCCAUUUUCUAAUUCUCAGUUUUUGUUUCAAUGUAUCGAUUAGCUUCCAAGCUAGCCUCCUCCAUCACUUCAUCGACCUCAAGGAGCGUUGUAUAAACAAUUACACUCUCCUUCUCCAUUCUUCUUUCUUCCGUUUAUACGAAUUACAAUCUUCAUUUUUGUUUGUGUUGCUGGAACAGAUACGCUGCAGGGUUAUUUCAAGUAGAAACUAUACGAGCAAAGACAUCAACUUUGGCGUUGGAGCUCGUGUUGCAAUUCUUCAGGGGUCGUAAUGUGAUUAUUGAGAAAAGUUAUGGGAACCCAAGGAUCACAAAUGAUGGUGUGACAGUAGCUAAGAGUAUCAAAUUUCAGGAUAAGGCUAAGAACAUUGGUGCUGAUCUUGUUAAGCAGGUUGCCAAGGCUACCAACGCUGCUGCUAGAGCUGGUACAACUUGUGCAGGCAAUACUGACAGAAGGUUGCAAAUCGAUUAUAGCUGGUGUAAAUGUCAUGGAUUUGCGUAAUGGAAUAAAUAAGGCAGUUGAUGCUGUAAUUACUGAUUUAAAAAGCAGGGCAGUAAUGAUAAGCACACCUGAAGAGAUAACCCAGUGUAUUAUUUUGGUAGGGAGAAUGAGUUAUGUUACCAAAUACUAAGUCAAACAAUGGACGCAAGGUCAAGAUAGGAGUUGGAGUUGGAGUCUCAGUUGGCGUAUUAUGUGGCCUUCUCUUAGCAUUCUGUUUGAUAUGGAAAAGACGAAAAAGGGCCACUCUGAAAGAGACUAAUGCAGCAUUAAAGGAUCAGUCCAUGGAAGAACAAGAGGAAGAUCCAGAGGUUCCAUUAUAUGACCUAACAGUUAUAGCUUCUUCCACUGAUAACUUUUCACACAAAAAUAAGCUUGGAGAAGGUGGUUUUGGACCUGUGUUUAAGGGAACAUUAGAAAAUGGGCAAAGAAUUGCAGUUAAGAGACUUUCAGCUAGUUCCGGACAAGGGAUCAAGGAAUUUAAAAAUGAAAUUGCCUUGAUAGCCAAACUUCAGCAUCGUAAUCUUGUAAAGCUUUGGUUUCUAAUUUUGUGUUUUUCUAACUGGUUGUCAACUGUCAAGAAGGCUUAGGGUGUUCGUUAGUGGGUACCUUCUUGAAAUCACUUGUGAAUGCAUCCCUGGUUGCCAAGAAGGAUGACAUCAGUUCAGGAGCAAAUUUGUUAGCUUCAGUUGAAAUCCUUGUGUCUGGAGUAUGCUUCUUGAAAGAUUUUGUGAAAGAUUUUGUGAAAGAUUUUGUGUUUCCAUCGUUGUAAAUUCCUUGAUUCUUCAUAAGCAUCAAGUGGAGUUUUUGUGUGUGCUUUUUUCUGCAGCCUAUUGACAAAUAAUCUCUACUUGAUUCUGGGAUAUUUUGCUGUCUCAUUCAUGUUCUAAAUGCCCUUCUAAAUCCUGAUGUAACUAGUCAACGAGCAAAUACUGCUAUUGAUGAUGAAGAGCAGUUGGUAUUGCAAAAAGAUUAUAAUGGUGAUAUUGGGGAAGGGCGCCGACUUGAGAUUACUGAUAAUAACUUGGAACAAAGAUUUUACAAGGAUUUACGUAAUGAAAACUUGGCUUCAGUGAACAUUGUCUUGUGUAUAUAUAAAAAAUUGUUAUAGUUGUAAAUUUAUAGUUAGAAAAUCAUGUUAUAUUUGAUACUUUGUAUACGAAUUAUUAUUUUUUAUUUCCAAUACUAAAAAAUCAUAUAU